This is a non-coding RNA of Acanthosepion pharaonis, 113 nucleotides long. NCBI's taxonomy places the organism in Eukaryota, Metazoa, Mollusca, Cephalopoda, Sepiida, Sepiidae. The record is from the annotation of a GenBank genome assembly.
UACAGCCAUAUGGAGUUGAAACACUGGUUCCAGUACAAUCACUGAAGUUAAGCAAUGUCGAGGCUGUUCAGUAUUUAGAUGGGUGUCUGCUUGGGAAUAUUAUGUGCUGUAAU